Long non-coding RNA from Lemur catta (Ring-tailed lemur), 1111 nucleotides. RefSeq lists it as uncharacterized. The transcript has 3 exons. Lineage: Eukaryota; Metazoa; Chordata; Mammalia; Primates; Lemuridae. The record is from RefSeq and is a predicted model, not a curated record.
UGCACUCUAAGGCCGCCUAGUAAAUGCUUUAGACUGAUCCCCCUGGUAUUUAGUGCUUUUUUUCUUUGGGAUCCCAACUGGCCCCAGAUCUCAGGAUGGAAUUGUAGGAAUUCCCCUUCUGCUGCUUUGGGGAGACUCCAGCCAUGGGUUCAGUGGGAAGAAAUAAUGAGAAAUAAGAAGAAGAAGUGAUCUUUUUAUAAGGACACCAGGAAUCAGAUCAGGAGCCACCCUAAUCCAGUGUGACCUCGUCUUAACCUGAUCGCAUCUGCACACACCCUAUUUGCAGCAAUGGAAGUCACACUUCUGAUGCCAGUGAUGGACUGAGGAGAUCACCGCGGGUGAACGAGCAGCUGGAGAGGAGAAGGGAAGCGUGGAGACAGCCAGGGAGUCUGAGGAGGAGGGCUCGGUGAAGCAGGGGCGGUCCAGGAAAGCGUGGCAUCGCGAAGCCAGCAGACCACCGUGAGGGCUGAAGGGUGAACGCUGAAUGUGGCACCACGGAGGCCACGCGGACCGGGCCGAGAGCAGGGUGUAGAAUGCAGCGACGCAGCUACGAGCCAGGGAACGCCAAGGACUGCCAGCAGCUACGGAAGCCAGGAGAGAGGCCUGGCACAGAUGCUCCCUCGGAAGCCCCCAGAAGACACCUUGAUUUGGGACUUCCGGCCGCUGGAACUGUGCGAGAAUACAUUUCUGUUGUUUAAGCCACCCAGUGUGUUACCAUGUUCACAGAAAAGGAAUACAAGCACUUUACAAUAAAAAAAGGAAUGGAUACAUGCAACGGCAUAGACGAAUCUCAAAACAAUUAUACUGAAUGAAAGAAACCACACACACACAAGAAUACCUCCUGUAUGCCUCUAUUUAUAUGAAAUUCUAGAACAUGCAAACUAACCUAUUGUGAUAGAGAACAGAUGAGUGGUACGAGGUCGGGCAGGAGAAAAGGCUACCCAAAGGGCGUGAGGAUAUGGAUAGAUUCACUAUCUUGAUUGUGGUGAUGGUUUCACAGGUGUCUAUGUAUAUCAAAACUUAUCUGAUUAUACAGCUAAACUAUGUGUGCUUUAUUAUAUGUCAAUUAUAUCCCCUAAAAUGGUAAUAAAACUAAUAGUGGAAAAUAAAA